GAGGCACUUCAGCUGGGAUAUCAGUUGCAUCACCUUUUCAGAGGAGCCCUUCAAAAUUCCUUCGGGACAAUUCAGGGAAACUUGCCAGGAGGGGAAAAAAAAAAAAAAAAGAAGGCUGGUAGCAAACACUUAUUCAAAUACUGGCAAAACAUCUGUGAAACAAAUCUUUAGCUGGAAAGAAAAAAGACACAUCCUUUAGAGUGAAGAUGAAGUGACUGUGGACAGGAAUGAAGUACAAUCACAGUUUACAUGUGCUAAAACAGCAUCCAAAUGCACCAAAAUGAGGUUAAAGCAUUUUAGCAUGUACUUAUGCUCUCAAGACUAUGUCAAGAGAUAAGACAAAGGAACAAUGGGAAGGCAUGAAAAAACUUGCCCAAACUUACACAAGUUACUGGAAGAAAAGCACAUCGAACCACAUCUCCAGAUUCUCAGCCUGCCAUGUUAACUAGGAAAGAAUACUGCUUCCCGUUUAACACUUACUUUCUGUAAAUGUUGUAUUUAAUUUCUCUAUCUUUCUGUCAACAAAUAGUAAAUGACAUAUUGUUCAUAGGAAAUUAUAAAGUAUAUUGUGUACUUUAAGUAUACAUAAUCUACAGAAGUACAUUAAACAUCAUAAUUUAGUGUUUGCCAUUUAGUUCAGUACUUCCAAGAAACAGAGAAAGUGGUUUACAGCUAAGCAGAAAUUCAUCAGAGUUUAACUUCCCUCUGAAAGAAAAAUAUUUCUGUUUCCCUUCCUAAAUACACUUCUCUCACUAUUAUGUUUCAUUCAGCUCAGCUUCUGAGUUUAUUGGUUGCCUGGAUUGGAAGUUUUGAACUAAGUUCUGAGAAGAUAGAUUCAGAAUUACAAAGCAGUGCCAUACCAGCUUCAUGUAAACUGCACUCACAGGAAUCCUUGAAGAGUUUACAUUUUCCAUACAUUCAAAAUAAUUAUAACAAUAGAAAAAAAAUAAAAUCAGAACCCAUCCUCCCCCACAUAUUUUAUUUUUUUUUAAUUAUGAUAUGAACAAAUACCGCACUGUGGUUACACCUAAACCCUUUCCUGGUAAGGAUUGGUCAUGCCUGAUGUUUCUAAUUAACAACAUUCUUUCCAUAACUUUUUUUUUUUGUGUGUGAAAAUUCAUGAAAGUCUUAAAUCAACAGUCUCUAGUCUUAACUACAACAUGGAUUUGAUUUUGUUCUGUCAUGCUAUAAAGAUUGGCAAGUGACUCUAAGAACAAAUCUGUAGCGAUAAAUUUUCUUUCAACAACCAGUACUGCAAGGGUACCCAUAAAUGAGAAGUUUUCCUUGUCAGAGGUAGACAUUUCUUCUUAUGACAGUUAUCUCUCAUUUUAAAAUACUUAAAAAUUGUAUUUUGAAGCUAUAAUUUAAAUGGGUAGAGGUUGUUUUUUUGUUUGUUUUUUUGUUUUGUUUUGUUUUUUAAAAAGGUUGAAGAUAAAAAACACACAGUUUAAUUGAGUUCAUUGACUAGCUUCCACUGCUAGGCACUAUCACAUAACUUUUUCGAAAGACUUAUAAUAAUGAGAGUUUCAUUAUAAAAGGUUCAAAAGACAUAACCAAAAUGGAUAUACUUUUAUGAUAACAAGACAUAUUGUCAUUAACUAUAAACAAUGUCAAUAAAAGCAGUAUCUCAGCCAUGUAAAUUCAGAAUGUAUACAUUUCUUAAAUUUUACUUACCAGAAACUGAUUUCCACAGCACAUUUUAAUUACUGUUAUUGCAAAAUGUAAAAUUAUUUUGUGCCAGUUCUUUUUUUUUCAAAUUCAGUUCUUCUGAUUCAGUAUUUUUAAAAAUUUGUAUUUAUAUAAAAUAUUACAUAAUAACUUGCAGUGCAGUAUUCUUUUCUGAGCUUCUCUACAGCAGAAGAUACCCCUUCAGAAUUUUAAAGAAAUGUGUGUUAUCCUUGCAGCUUCAACAUAAGCCAGAGAGGGCUAAAUUUUUAAGAGAAAUAAAACCAAGAAAUGCAUUUAGAAACAUUAAUGGUUUUAUGAAUGGCAUAAAAUCAACAGGAAAAGAAGCUGCAGUGAGUUUAAGUAACACUAGGAGUUCCCUGAAAAAUGUCUAAAAUUGUAGAAUCCAUAAUAUUCAAUUUUCAGCCAUUUUGAAAAUUAUCCUUCAAACUUUUGUGAUUGUGAGCAAUCCUUACUUAUUUGAGUAAAGCCAUUCAUGUUAAUAGCCAUAUGCACAUGUAUAAGGAUUUACAAGAUCAGGGCCCAACAUGACAACUGGUUAUCCUCUCUGUAACCCCAAAUAUAAAAAAAAAAUACUGUUGUGCAACACUUAGUAUAGCCCGAAUGAAUUCACAUGUUUUGUUUAGUUUUGUUUGGUUGGUUUUUUUUGUUUGUUUGUUUUUUGUUUAUUUUUGUCUGAUUUCAGUGGGAACAGUUAGGCCUUAAAAAACAGAAACAAAAAGAUUAAAAAAAUUACAUCAAAGAAAGCUGAAGUAAACACAAUAUGUUUCGAUAACAAUUAUCAACUUCCAAAAGCUGAAACGUACUCAGAUUACCGGAGAAAAUAUCCAGUGUCUCACUUUAGAGUUGCUACGCGAAGAGAGCUAUUGGUAAAGUACAUGGUUAAUUACUGUCAAAAAAAAAAAAAAAAAGUAAUUUUUUUUUUUGAGUAAAAGUAAGGUUGUUUUGUUUUGUUUUGUUUUAAGUAAGUUGGUGUCUUGUUUUGUUUUUUUUAAGAAAGUUUUUUUUAAGAAAAGCUUUUUUUGAGUUUUUAGUGAUUUUGUUCAUUUGUGGUCAAUUAUUUUUGGAUUCUGGUUUGCCCAUUUUAUACAAGUUGUGCCUUAUUUUUGUAUACAAAAUUAAAAAAUUAUA
Long non-coding RNA from Anas platyrhynchos (mallard), 2817 nucleotides. RefSeq lists it as uncharacterized. NCBI's taxonomy places the organism in Eukaryota, Metazoa, Chordata, Aves, Anseriformes, Anatidae. The record is from RefSeq and is a predicted model, not a curated record.